Molecule: long non-coding RNA, 250 nt
Filed under: Ananas comosus (pineapple)
Lineage: Eukaryota; Viridiplantae; Streptophyta; Magnoliopsida; Poales; Bromeliaceae
Description: long non-coding RNA (ACOM_LNC014984)
Source: RNAcentral
UUUGCCGGCUGCCGCCGAUUGAGCCCCGGCCGGCCAGCCGCCGCCGCAGCCUCGCCAUCCACCACCUUUCCAUCUCUCUCUCUCUCUCUCUCUCUCUCUCUCUCUCUCUCUCUCUUUUCUCUGGUUGCAAGGAGGCCCGAGGCUGCACCACCUCCAGACCCUUCGCCGGCGUCGCCCCAUGCCCCGACGAGCCUCUCCGCCGACCGGCACCGCCUCCACGCGCCGCCACUGCCACCCCAGCACUUUGCUA